RNAcentral lists this ribosomal RNA (254 nucleotides) under uncultured bacterium. Its description in RNAcentral is "partial 16S ribosomal RNA". It matches the Rfam family "Bacterial small subunit ribosomal RNA", at positions 524 to 776 of the family's 1533-position model. The record is from RNAcentral.
UACGUAGGGUGCAAGCGUUUGUCCGGAAUUAUUGGGCGUAAAGAGCUCGUAGGCGGUUUGUCGCGUCUGCCGUGAAAGUCCGGGGCUCAACUCCGGAUCUGCGGUGGGUACGGGCAGACUAGAGUGAUGUAGGGGAGACUGGAAUUCCUGGUGUAGCGGUGAAAUGCGCAGAUAUCAGGAGGAACACCGAUGGCGAAGGCAGGUCUCUGGGCAUUAACUGACGCUGAGGAGCGAAAGCGUGGGGAGCGAACAGG